RNAcentral lists this ribosomal RNA (252 nucleotides) under uncultured bacterium. Its description in RNAcentral is "partial 16S ribosomal RNA". It matches the Rfam family "Bacterial small subunit ribosomal RNA", at positions 525 to 776 of the family's 1533-position model. The record is from RNAcentral.
ACGGAGGGUGCAAGCGUUAUCCGGAUUUAUUGGGUUUAAAGGGUGCGUAGGCGGAAUUUUAAGUCAGUGGUGAAAUCCUGCAGCUUAACUGUAGAACUGCCAUUGAUACUGAUCUUCUUGAAUUUAGUUGAGGUGGGCGGAACGUGUAAUGUAGCGGUGAAAUGCUUAGAUAUUACACAGAACACCGAUUGCGAAGGCAGCUCACUAAACUAACAUUGACGCUGAGGCACGAAAGCGUGGGUAGCGAACAGG